RNAcentral lists this ribosomal RNA (206 nucleotides) under uncultured bacterium. Its description in RNAcentral is "partial 16S ribosomal RNA". It matches the Rfam family "Bacterial small subunit ribosomal RNA", at positions 568 to 774 of the family's 1533-position model. The record is from RNAcentral.
CACGCAGGCGGUCUGUCAAGUCGGAUGUGAAAUCCCCGGGCUCAACCUGGGAACUGCAUUCGAAACUGGCAGGCUAGAGUCUUGUAGAGGGGGUAGAAUUCCAGGUGUAGCGGUGAAAUGCGUAGAGAUCUGGAGGAAUACCGGUGGCGAAGGCGGCUUACUGGACGGUAACUGACGUUGAGGCUCGAAAGCGUGGGGAGCAAACA